RNAcentral lists this ribosomal RNA (253 nucleotides) under uncultured bacterium. RNAcentral describes it as "partial 16S ribosomal RNA". It matches the Rfam family "Bacterial small subunit ribosomal RNA", at positions 524 to 776 of the family's 1533-position model. The record is from RNAcentral.
GACGUAGGGCGCGAGCGUUGUCCGGAUUUAUUGGGCGUAAAGAGCUCGUAGGCGGCUUGUUGCGUCGACUGUGAAAACCCGCGGCUUAACUGCGGGCUUGCAGUUGAUACGGGCAGGCUAGAGUUCGGUAGGGGAGACUGGAAUUCCUGGUGUAGCGGUGAAAUGCGCAGAUAUCGGGAGGAACACCAAUGGCGAAGGCAGCUCGCUGGGACGUUACUGACGCUGAGACGCGAAAGCGUGGGGAGCAAACAGG